Molecule: ribosomal RNA, 1002 nt
Filed under: human gut metagenome
Description: bacterial LSU rRNA
Rfam family: Bacterial large subunit ribosomal RNA
Source: RNAcentral
CGGCGGCCGUAACUAUAACGGUCCUAAGGUAGCGAAAUUCCUUGUCGGGUAAGUUCCGACCUGCACGAAUGGCAUAACGAUGGCCACACUGUCUCCUCCCGAGACUCAGUGAAGUUGAAAUGUUUGUGAUGAUGCAAUCUACCCGCGGCUAGACGGAAAGACCCCAUGAACCUUUACUGCAGCUUUGCAUUGAACUGUGAACCGAUUUGUGUAGGAUAGGUGGGAGGCAGAGAAGAGGCCACGCCAGUGGUCUUGGAGCCGACCUUGAAAUACCACCCUGAUUUGUUUGCGGUUCUAACCACGGACAGUGAUCCUGUCUUGGGACCGUGCAUGGUAGGCAGUUUGACUGGGGCGGUCUCCUCCUAAAGGGUAACGGAGGAGUACGAAGGUACGCUAGGUACGGUCGGAAAUCGUGCUGAUAGUGCAAUGGCAAAAGCGUGCUUGACUGCGAGAGCAACAACUCGAGCAGAUGCGAAAGCAGGUCAUAGUGAUCCGGUGGCUCUGAAUGGAAGGGCCAUCGCUCAACGGAUAAAAGGUACUCUGGGGAUAACAGGCUGAUACCGCCCAAGAGUUCAUAUCGACGGCGGUGUUUGGCACCUCGAUGUCGGCUCAUCUCAUCCUGGGGCUGUAGUCGGUCCCAAGGGUAUGGCUGUUCGCCAUUUAAAGAGGUACGUGAGCUGGGUUUAAAACGUCGUGAGACAGUUUGGUCCCUAUCUGCCGUGGGCGUUGGAAGAUUGACGGGGGCUGCUCCUAGUACGAGAGGACCGGAGUGGACGCACCUCUGGUGUACCGGUUGUCACGCCAGUGGCAUUGCCGGGUAGCUAAGUGCGGAAGAGAUAACCGCUGAAAGCAUCUAAGCGGGAAACUUGCCUGAAGAUGAGUCUUCCCGGAGGUUGAACCUCCCUCAAGAGUCGUCCGAGACCAGGACGUCGAUAGGUCAGGUGUGUAAGCGCUGUAAGGCGUUGAGCUAACUGAUACUAAUUGCUCGUGAGGCUUGAUCCU